Molecule: ribosomal RNA, 797 nt
Filed under: uncultured bacterium
Lineage: Bacteria
Description: bacterial SSU rRNA
Rfam family: Bacterial small subunit ribosomal RNA
Source: RNAcentral
AGAGUUUGAUCCUGGCUCAGAACGAACGCUGGCGGCACGUUUUAAGCAUGCAAGUAGAAUGGUAAAUAGGGGUAACUCUAUGAGAAUGGCGAACGGGUGAGUAACACGUAGGUGAUCUGCUUUGUAGUUGGGGAUAGCUUGUGGAAACACAAGGUAAUACCGGAUAAGCUGCACGGACUUUGGUUUGUGUAGGAAAGGGGCUUCGGCCUCGCUAUAAAAGGAGCCUGCGGCUGAUUAGCUAGUUGGUGAGGUAAGAGCUCACCAAGGCGACGAUCAGUAGCCGGCCUGAGAGGGUGUACGGCCACACUGGGACUGAGACACGGCCCAGACUCCUACGGGAGGCAGCAGCUAAGAAUCUUCCGCAAUGGGCGCAAGCCUGACGGAGCGAUGCCGCGUGAACGAUGAAGGUAGAGAUAUUGUAAAGUUCUUUUAUGAGUGAGGAAUAAGGCUGGUAGGUAAUGAUCGGCUGAUGACGUUAGCUCAUGAAUAAGCCCCGGCCAAUUACGUGCCAGCAGCCGCGGUAACACGUAAGGGGCGAGCGUUGUUCGGAUUUAUUGGGCGUAAAGCGCGCGCAGGCGGUUUUACAAGUCUGGUGUGAAAUAUCUGGGCUCAACUCAGAGGCCGCAUUGGAAACUGUAAGACUAGAGUUUUGGAGGGGGAGCUGGAAUUCCUAGUGUAGGGGUGAAAUCUGUUGAUAUUAAGAAGAACACCGGAGGCGAAGGCGAGCUCCUGGCUGGAAACUGACGCUGAGGCGCGAAAGCGUAGGUAGCAAACAGGAUUAGAUACCCUGGUAGUCC